Molecule: long non-coding RNA, 274 nt
Organism: Carassius carassius (crucian carp)
Lineage: Eukaryota; Metazoa; Chordata; Actinopteri; Cypriniformes; Cyprinidae
Exons: 3
Source: RefSeq, a predicted model, not a curated record
AGAUAGAAAAGUUCCCUCUGCAAAUGAGGGGACAGACCACUCUUCUGAAGGAAGCUCAGACAUGUAUUUGUGGAUUUCACAAGGUUCAUCCACCAGUCACAGUGGAAGCAUCACAGAGCACCCCGGCCCAAAGCACACCCUCUGUCAGUGAUGUGUCAUGUCCUGCAAAGAGAGCUAAACUAACAUUGUCAAUGUUUGAAAAGUCAAGGUUUGGAGGCUCACAUGUGGCAGCAGCAAAACCUAAUUUGAGCACCCAGAGGAAAACCUCUCAAAU